UGGGGAUUUGGUACAAUGGGCGAAAGCCUGAUACAGCCAUGCCGCGUGUGUGAAGAAGGCCCUAGGGUUUGAAAACUGUUUUUGUAGGGAAGAAAACCUUGAUACGUGUACCCGGCUGAAUGUACGGUACCAAUAAAGAACGGCUAACUCAAUGCCUGCCCCCGCGGUCAUUAAUAAA
RNAcentral lists this ribosomal RNA (178 nucleotides) under uncultured Gammaproteobacteria bacterium. RNAcentral describes it as "partial 16S ribosomal RNA". It matches the Rfam family "Bacterial small subunit ribosomal RNA", at positions 356 to 529 of the family's 1533-position model. The record is from RNAcentral. Lineage: Bacteria; Pseudomonadati; Pseudomonadota; Gammaproteobacteria.